RNAcentral lists this ribosomal RNA (253 nucleotides) under uncultured bacterium. RNAcentral's name for it is "partial 16S ribosomal RNA". It matches the Rfam family "Bacterial small subunit ribosomal RNA", at positions 524 to 776 of the family's 1533-position model. The record is from RNAcentral.
GACGUAGGGAGCGAGCGUUGUCCGGAAUUACUGGGCGUAAAGAGCUCGUAGGCGGGACCGUAAGUCCGAGAGGAAAUCUCAAGGCUCAACUUUGGGGCUUUCUUGGAUACUGCGGUUCUUGAGGAUGAGAGAGGUAAGCAGAAUUCCCGGUGUAGCGGUGAAAUGCGUAGAUAUCGGGAGGAAUACCAGUGGCGAAGGCGGCUUACUGGCUCAUUCCUGACGCUGAGGAGUGAAAGCGUGGGGAGCAAACUGG